UACAGAGGUCUCAAGCGUUGUUCGGAUUCAUUGGGCGUAAAGGGUGCGUAGGUGGCGGGGUAAGUCAGGUGUGAAAUUUCGGAGCUUAACUCCGAAACUGCAUUUGAUACUGCCUUGCUUGAGGACUGGAGAGGAGACUGGAAUUCACGGUGUAGCAGUGAAAUGCGUAGAGAUCGUGAGGAAGACCAGUGGCGAAGGCGGUCUGCUGGGCAGUUCCUGACACUGAGACACGAAGGCCAGGGGAGCAAACGGG
RNAcentral lists this ribosomal RNA (253 nucleotides) under uncultured bacterium. RNAcentral describes it as "partial 16S ribosomal RNA". It matches the Rfam family "Bacterial small subunit ribosomal RNA", at positions 524 to 776 of the family's 1533-position model. The record is from RNAcentral.